This is a non-coding RNA of Gasterosteus aculeatus aculeatus (three-spined stickleback), 3934 nucleotides long. The record is from RefSeq and is a predicted model, not a curated record. Lineage: Eukaryota; Metazoa; Chordata; Actinopteri; Perciformes; Gasterosteidae.
CUGUUACGAUGGAUACGGCCGAUGCUCCGGCAGUAAGCGUGACAUUAUAAAAUGUUUUGGGUGUACACCAAAUAUCCUUGCUGUGACCUUUAAGUAAUCAAACAUUCAUUCAAUUGCUCUUUUUUUAUUGCAUGAAAAUAGAAAACAAGCUCCAACUAAAGUAAAAAGCAGCAGAACUGACAAAUCCUCUAAAAAUGAUACAGACUGGGACUGUUUAAUAGUGGGUGAGCUUAGUUUUAUUAGUCAAUUCCUACGGGUGAACUCGUCUACUCCCGUCAGCAAAAGGUUUGCAAUAUUUCAAUGUUUUAUAGACAUUUUGCCUCCUACAUCUUUAAGCGACUUUUUGUGACAGAGUCACAAAGUAAAAAGUUUUUGGUAUUGAGCUUUGAUUCAGAGCAGAUUAAAGCAGAGAUAAAUAAAAGCAAUCACAUGUGCACUAUUUGCAGUAGGAGGGUCAGCAAAGGUUCACGUAUGAAGUACUUUGCGUCCAUCAUUGUUUUCAGUCCUAAUCCAAAAGAUGGAGACGCGCAUUAAAUGAAAUCAAAAGGUUGCCGCGCGCGUAACUGGAUGAUACAAUAGAGCUCGUAAUCUUCUUAACCGGAUUACCGGAGCGAUGUGAUCCCAUGUGACGACGAGCAGAAGUCACUGGAAAGGAAGCGAGCAGGUUACCUCCUCUGUUUACCACCAAGAUAAACCCUAAAAAUAUACCUCACCUAAUCUCCUUAAGGGGCGUGCGAUAGGAGUUAGUCCUCUCUCAGCCGGCUCCCGGUCGGCCAGUCGGUCUCAGAGGUCGACCCGACCCCUCGCCGCUGCGUUCAGACGAGAAAGGGCUUCGCGCCGACACCUCCAUCCGGGUCCGCUUUAUGGUUUCUCAGUUGGCGUCCGUCUGCAGCCUGAACACGCGCGGCCCGAAGCCUUCCAGCGCUCCGGGCAUGUCGGGCCUGCUCAACCUCAGCAGCCUGGGGAGGAUCUGCGGCUCCGGCAACAGCAACGAAAUGGUGGUUUUGGACCGGGUCAAGAGGAAGAACUCGGUCAGGCGCAUGUCCAUCAUCGAGGACGGGGAAAUCGCAGAGAUUCUCUACCUCAUCCCUAAACAGUCCAUGAUGGAGCAGCUGCCCUUCAUCAACCCCGACGACUACGUCCUGUGUGAGAAGUUGGACGGGAUACCUCCGGAGAUGUCCGGGCUCCAUGACCUGGACGGCUCCCAGCCGUGUUCCCCCGGGGGGAAGCGUGUCAUCCGGUGCUUUAGAUGUGGGGAGCCGUGCAAGGGUCAGGCGCUGCGUGUGCAGAACAGCCACUUCCACGUAAAGUGCUUCACCUGCAAAGAGUGCGGCUGCGACCUGGCUCACAGUGGCUUCUUCAUGAGGACCGGGGACUACCUCUGCCCGCUGGACUUCCAGAGGCUCCACGGCACGCUCUGCAGCAGCUGCGGGGACUUUGUGGAGGGCGCGGUGGUCACGGUCCUGGGGAAGACCUACCACCCGGCCUGCUUCGUGUGCUCCGUCUGCAAAGAGCCUUUUCCUGCCGGGGAUUGUGUGACCUUCAGCGGAAAGGACUGCCUCUGCCAGCGCUGCGUCCGACCCCCGUCUCCCACCCCCCACGACGUCAGCUGGUCCGGCAACUGCUCGGGCUGCGGGAGAGACAUCAAGAACGGCCAGGCUCUGGUGGCGCUCGGAGGCCAGUGGCACCUCGGCUGCUUCAAGUGUAAAGCCUGCAGGAGAAUGCUGAGCGGAGAGUACAUCAGCAAGGAUGGCUUUCCAUACUGCGAGAGGGACUACCAGAUCCAAUUUGGGGUUCAGUGUGAAGCAUGUCAGAAGUUUAUAACUGGGAAAGUCCUCGAGGCGGGGGAGAGAAACUAUCACCCCAGCUGUGCCAGAUGCAGCCGAUGUGACAAAAUGUUCACGGAGGGCGAAGACAUGUACGUGCAAGGGUCGACGGUUUGGCACCCGGACUGCAGAGACGGCAGCAGAGCGGAGGACGGCUUCGUGGUCAACAGGCCAAAAACAGCAGGUCUCGAUUUCUUUUUCCCGCAUCAUAAACUCAAGCCCACGACAUCCUCGUCUGAAAGCUCCUUCUCCAGGCCCGGCUCGUGCACUCCGGGGAGUCCUGGUCGGACCAUCUGUGCAAAAGUAGAUAAUGAGAUCUUUGAUUACCGAGAAUUAGCAGCCAUUCCCAGAGUCAAGGCUAUAUUCGAUAUAGAGCAUCCCGAUAUGAUGUCCUAUGAGUCUGUGGACUCCUCCUCUACUUUGGACAAGAAAGGCGUCAGACCGGAGCGGCGGGGCCCUGCACAGUCACCAGGAAAUGCGUCUGAAACCACCGAGGAGGGUUUUGAAGUCAAACAUUUCACGCCAACACCCAGAAGACCUGCGUCCUCUGGGGAUCGCGGGACACGCAAUCGCCACAACUACACGCCAAAUCUGUCCAGAUCCCCUCAACACUUCCACCGGCCCGGAGUGACGCGUUCUUCCUCUUUAUUAUCUGGCAACAAAGACACACGCAUCACUUCCCCUUUAUGUCACCACUCCCCCCCCCAUAACAAAGACGAAGGCUUCAACAUGUACAGGAGGCCUCCGAUUUAUAAACAGCAAGAUACACAUUUCACCGCAUCCCAAACGGCCUCGCUGCCCGGAUACGGUCGCAACGACCUCAAUCCGCCACCGUCAGCUGACCUCCCCCCCGGCGACGGAUCCAGAGAGUUUAAGGUAUGUGGGGAGAGCUUUGAGUGGUCUUGAAUCCUCCGAUCCUACUUCCUUUCCUCGUUUGGUUAAGUGCGCUUCCAAAGGACCGACCUCAUCUCACUCCCUGCAUGAGCCUGUUUUAUGAACUCUUCCGCGAUGGUCAGCAUGCAUUAGCACGAACGGACAGAGGAGUGUCGAUGCCUAAUUUGUUGGAACCAAAACUCUACCCAUAUGAGCUCUUAGCUGUAAGUAGUAGAGGACGAGUGAAACUCCCCAGCGACGUUGACCGGACAAGACUUGAGCGCCACCUUUCCCCGGGGUCGUUCUUUCAGAUCUUCGGCAUGGGCCUUCAACAAUUUGACCUGCUUCCGCUGUGGAAACGUAACAAUAUGAAGAAGAGGGCAAAUCUUUUCUAAAUGCCACCUAAUGCAUUUCUUCAUUACUAAUAUGCGGUACAUGUCAUUUUUUGCCCCUUGAGUUUUUUCUUUGCAUUUGACACAAAAGUUUUAUAUUUUCUUGCUUAUAAACUGGACGGAUUUAGUUUAGUUUAUGAAGACUUGUAAUAAUGUUUGAAAUGUAUAAUACGUCGGCAGAUAUGAACACGAGAACUCAACUUGCUACAUUAUUGAAAUGUCCAAAAUAACUAGAGAGGGAGGGAUACAGAACAUGUGGUUAAUGUCUCAACGUGUACGAAGAAGUAUUUCCCUGCUCGCCUCCUGGAAAUUAGGAAAUGAUUGACUGCAGAACACAGCGUUUGAGCGAGGUCACUGUGUUUAAAGUCACUCAUUCAUGUCGGAAACGGCUGGACAGCGGUUUCAAAUGAUUCUGUCCCAAGUGAAAACCUUUGGAGAUCAGGAUUAUUAAGCUUUAUGAAGCUUAUUGAGCACAAUGCGUCAUGAUACCCGACGUGUUUCAGUACAUCAAAUGUUAAUAUCUUGUCAUCAAUGUAAUUCUGAGACAUAAUAUGAAACAACUCAGUGUUGUCACUGUUACUUCACUGUUACUUACAUGUUACAUUAUUUUAUUUUUUUUAUUUAGGGGAUUCACACUUUAUUGAACAUAAAAAUGAAAAGAACAUUAUUGAGAAUGUUUAUUCCACCAAAUCAAUGAAACGUGCUAAAGAGGGUUAUUAAAGGAAUAAUUAGAAGGAUUUUACUUUUUUUUUUCCUGAUUUAAGUCAUCAAUCAAUGUAUAAGUCACCUUGACACUGCUCCCCCAUCACACCAAAUAAAAUCUCCCUCCUACAAUUUAAAAAA